AACCAGACGACCCGCCCCGUGCGUCGUGACGCGCGCGCUGUGACGUACAGUCCGGCACCUUUAGCUCCGCCCUCAUCCGGUCCGAGCCUGCUGUCCUGGUGCUUUCUGCAAGUAACCCUCAGUGCUAUGGCGUUUGCAAGCCAAAAUUUGUUUUCUUUUGUCUUUUUUUUCCCUUCUUUUUUGGUAACGGGAAUCGAAGAGCUGGAAUUUCUUUAAAGGCAAAAGGUUGCCCCUCUGCCAUAUCACCCUGCCUUUGUGACAGCUAAUUAUGGACUGAAACCUCUACAAACUGUGAGCUAAAUAAACUUUUCCUUCCUUUAA
Long non-coding RNA from Cavia porcellus (domestic guinea pig), 321 nucleotides. RefSeq lists it as uncharacterized. The record is from RefSeq and is a predicted model, not a curated record. The transcript is spliced from 2 exons. NCBI's taxonomy places the organism in Eukaryota, Metazoa, Chordata, Mammalia, Rodentia, Caviidae.